UACGUAGGGUGCUAACGUUGUUCGGAAUCACUGGGCAUAAAGCGCGUGUAGGCGGUCCAUUAAGUCCUGUGUGAAAUCCCCCGGCAUAACCGGGGAACGGCACAGGAUACUGUUGGGCUAGAGUGCAGGAGGGGAGAGUGGAAUUCCUGGUGGAGCGGUGAAAUGCGUAGAUAUCAGGAGGAACGCCGGUGGCGAAAGCGACUCUCUGGUCUGCCACUGACGCUGAGGCGCGAAAGCUAGGGGAGCAAACGGG
RNAcentral lists this ribosomal RNA (253 nucleotides) under uncultured bacterium. Its description in RNAcentral is "partial 16S ribosomal RNA". It matches the Rfam family "Bacterial small subunit ribosomal RNA", at positions 524 to 776 of the family's 1533-position model. The record is from RNAcentral.